GGUUACUGCUAUCGAGAUUCGAUUAAGCCAUGCGAGUUGAAUGUUCUUCGUGAACAUGGCGGACUGCUCAGUAACACGUGGACAACCUACCCUUGGAUCUGGGAUAAACCCGGGAAACUGGGCAUAAUACCGGAUAAGCCACAUAUGCUGGAAUGCUUUGUGGUUCAAAGCUCCGGCGUCCAAGGAUGGGUCUGCGGCCUAUCAGGGUAGUAGUGGGUGUAAUGUACCUACUAGCCUACGACGGGUACGGGUUGUGAGAGCAAGAGCCCGGAGAUGGAUUCUGAGACACGAAUCCAGGCCCUACGGGGUGCAGCAGGCGCGAAAACUUUACAAUGCGGGAAACCACGAUAAGGGAAUCUCGAGUGCCAGCAUAUAAUGUUGGCUGUCCAGAUGCCUAAAAAGCAUUUGUUAGCAAGGGCCGGGCAAGACCGGUGCCAGCCGCCGCGGUAACACCGGCGGCCCGAGUGGUAACCGUUAUUAUUGGGUCUAAAGGGUCUGUAGCCGGCCGAAUAAGUCUCUUGGGAAAUCUGGCAGCUUAACUGUCAGGCAGUCAGGGGAUACUGUUCGGCUUGGGACCGGGAGAGGUGAGAGGUACCUCGGGGGUAGGGGUGAAAUCUUGUGAUCCUCGAGGGACCACCAGUGGCGAAGGCGUCUCACCAGAACGGGUCCGACGGUAAGGGACGAAAGCUAGGGGCACGAACCGGAUUAGAUACCCGGGUAGUCCUAGCCGUAAACGAUGCUUGCUAGGUGUCAGCCACGGUGCGACCGUGGUUGGUGCCGUAGGGAAGCCGUGAAGCGAGCCACCUGGGAAGUACGGCCGCAAGGCUGAAACU
RNAcentral lists this ribosomal RNA (833 nucleotides) under uncultured archaeon. RNAcentral's name for it is "bacterial SSU rRNA". It matches the Rfam family "Archaeal small subunit ribosomal RNA", at positions 21 to 856 of the family's 1478-position model. The record is from RNAcentral.